GACGAACGCUGGCGGCGUGCUUAACACAUGCAAGUCGAACGGAAAGGCCUGCUUUCCCUUGUGGAUUGCGGGUGCUCGAGUGGCGAACGGGUGAGUAACACGUGUGUGAUCUGCCCCCAACUUGGGUAUAAGCCUGGGAAACUGGGUCUAAUUCCCGAUAGGACUGCAGGGUGGUGCCUGUGGUGGAAAACGAUUUUCUAGUGGUUGGGGAUGAGCUCGCGGCCUAUCAGCUUGUUGGUGGGGUAAUGGCCUACCAAGGCGGCGACGGGUAGCCGGCCUGAGAGGGUGGACGGCCACAUUGGGACUGAGAUACGGCCCAGACUCCUACGGGAGGCAGCAGUGGGGAAUAUUGCACAAUGGGCGGAAGCCUGAUGCAGCGACGCCGCGUGGGGGAUGACGGCCUUCGGGUUGUAAACUCCUUUCGACCGCGAGGAAGCCACCUGGUUGGAAGGGUGGUGACGGUAGUGGUAGAAGAAGCACCGGCUAACUACGUG
This 494-nucleotide ribosomal RNA is filed under the name uncultured bacterium. RNAcentral's name for it is "partial 16S ribosomal RNA". It matches the Rfam family "Bacterial small subunit ribosomal RNA", at positions 28 to 507 of the family's 1533-position model. The record is from RNAcentral.